UGGCGGCGUGCUAUACAUGCAAGUAGAACGCUGAGGUUUGGUGUUUACACUAGACUGAUGAGUUGCGAACGGGUAAGUAACGCGUAGGUAACCUGCCUCAUAGCGGGGGAUAACUAUUGGAAACGAUAGCUAAUACCGCAUAAGAGUAAUUAACACAUGUUAGGUAUUUAAAAGGAGCAAUUGCUUCACUGUGAGAUGGACCUGCGUUGUAUUAGCUAGUUGGUGAGGUAAAGGCUCACCAAGGCGACGAUACAUAGCCGACCUGAGAGGGUGAUCGGCCACACUGGGACUGAGACACGGCCCAGACUCCUACGGGAGGCAGCAGUAGGGAAUCUUCGGCAAUGGACGGAAGUCUGACCGAGCAACGCCGCGUGAGUGAAGAAGGUUUUCGGAUCGUAAAGCUCUGUUGUUAGAGAAGAACGUUGGUAGGAGUGGAAAAUCUACCAAGUGACGGUAACUAACCAGAAAGGGACGGCUAACUACGUGCCAGCAGCCGCGGUAAUACGUAGGUCCCGAGCGUUGUCCGGAUUUAUUGGGCGUAAAGCGAGCGCAGGCGGUUCUUUAAGUCUGAAGUUAAAGGCAGUGGCUUAACCAUUGAACGCUUUGGAAACUGGAGGACUUGAGUGCAGAAGGGGAGAGUGGAAUUCCAUGUGUAGCGGUGAAAUGCGUAGAUAUAUGGAGGAACACCGGUGGCGAAAGCGGCUCUCUGGUCUGUAACUGACGCUGAGGCUCGAAAGCGUGGGGAGCAAACAGGAUUAGAUACCCUGGUAGUCCACGCCGUAAACGAUGAGUGCUAGGUGUUAGGCCCUUUCCGGGGCUUAGUGCCGCAGCUAACGCAUUAAGCACUCCGCCUGGGGAGUACGACCGCAAGGUUGAAACUCAAAGGAAUUGACGGGGGCCCGCACAGGCGGUGGAGCAUGUGGUUUAAUUCGAAGCAACGCGAAGAACCUUACCAGGUCUUGACAUCCUUCUGACCGGCCUAGAGAUAGGCUUUCUCUUCGGAGCAGAAGUGACAGGUGGUGCAUGGUUGUCGUCAGCUCGUGUCGUGAGAUGUUGGGUUAAGUCCCGCAACGAGCGCAACCCCUAUUGUUAGUUGCCAUCAUUAAGUUGGGCACUCUAGCGAGACUGCCGGUAAUAAACCGGAGGAAGGUGGGGAUGACGUCAAAUCAUCAUGCCCCUUAUGACCUGGGCUACACACGUGCUACAAUGGUUGGUACAACGAGUCGCAAGCCGGUGACGGCAAGCUAAUCUCUUAAAGCCAAUCUCAGUUCGGAUUGUAGGCUGCAACUCGCCUACAUGAAGUCGGAAUCGCUAGUAAUCGCGGAUCAGCACGCCGCGGUGAAUACGUUCCCGGGCCUUGUACACACCGCCCGUCACACCACGAGAGUUUGUAACACCCGAAGUCGGUGAGGUAACCUUUUGGGAGCCAGCCGCC
This 1435-nucleotide ribosomal RNA is filed under the name uncultured prokaryote. Its description in RNAcentral is "16S ribosomal RNA". It matches the Rfam family "Bacterial small subunit ribosomal RNA". The record is from RNAcentral.